This 678-nucleotide long non-coding RNA is filed under the name Prunus persica (peach). RNAcentral's name for it is "long non-coding RNA (PPER_LNC005770)". Lineage: Eukaryota; Viridiplantae; Streptophyta; Magnoliopsida; Rosales; Rosaceae. The record is from RNAcentral.
AUGGGUAAAACCUAAAUUUACUUAAAAGGAAUCAAGUAUACUUUAUAAUCUAAGUACACUUUAAUAUUUAAAUCAAAAUAUAAAAUUAACUAAAUACACCUUAUUUAACUAUCAAAAAUACCUUCGGUACACCCUAAUACACCAAUUCUCCUCUCCAGCAUAAGUGUUUUCAAUGCCCCAUUCGCUUUUUCUUGGCCUCCCUCUAUAUUGAAAGCUGACCGAACCUAAUGCAAAACAUAUAUCAGCGUUCACAAUUUGAAGAUUCUUCUGCUUUUGAAUUGCUAGCAAUACCUGGAAAACAUCUAAGCAGUAACUAAGGAUGGACAUUAAUUCCCCAAUUAAAAAGCUUUAUCAAGUAUGAAACAAUCAAAGAUCAUUCAAGUGAAUCAAGUCCAUUACCCAGAAAUCCAACACUGAAAAUGAACAAGUUGAAUGGACAAAAUCCUGAGCAUGCAUUUAGUAACCUGCUACACAAAAAAUGAACAAAAAUUCAGAACUCCCUUGAAGCCAUGACAACCUAAGAACGCCCAGCAUAUACAAUUUACAUAAAAAAAAUGUAUAUAAAAAAAAAAAAAACCAAACUUUAGUCCAUCCCUCAUUCUGAUUUGAACUUGAAGUUCGAUUGGAAAUACAUAAGGGACCCUAUAAACUUGGAAACUAUCCUAAAUAAGAUUCCUG